AAGAAUGUGGCUCAGUGGUAAAGUGCUUGCCUAGCAUGCAUGAAGCCCUGGGUUCAAUUCCCCAGUACACAUA
This 73-nucleotide transfer RNA is filed under the name Dipodomys ordii (Ord's kangaroo rat). It matches the Rfam family "tRNA". Rfam says of the family: Transfer RNA (tRNA) molecules are approximately 80 nucleotides in length. The record is from Rfam by way of RNAcentral. Lineage: Eukaryota; Metazoa; Chordata; Mammalia; Rodentia; Heteromyidae.